GCUCCCAUAGCUCAGUCGGUAGAGCGCUUCCAUGGUAAGGAAGAGGUCACCAGUUCGAGUCUGGUUGGGAGCU
This 73-nucleotide transfer RNA is filed under the name Melghirimyces algeriensis. RNAcentral describes it as "Thermoactinomycetaceae bacterium NariEX tRNA". It matches the Rfam family "tRNA". From Rfam's summary of the family: Transfer RNA (tRNA) molecules are approximately 80 nucleotides in length. Their secondary structure includes four short double-helical elements and three loops (D, anti-codon, and T loops). RNAcentral also lists the same sequence under 3 other names. The record is from Rfam by way of RNAcentral. Lineage: Bacteria; Bacillati; Bacillota; Bacilli; Caryophanales; Thermoactinomycetaceae.